Molecule: non-coding RNA, 4483 nt
Organism: Nicotiana tabacum (common tobacco)
Lineage: Eukaryota; Viridiplantae; Streptophyta; Magnoliopsida; Solanales; Solanaceae
Source: RefSeq, a predicted model, not a curated record
UCAUUUCUAAAUUUCUGCUUUGUUAUUCUCAUCUUCCGGUAACCACAGGAUGAUCCAAGAAAGUUAGUAGGAUUCGAACCUAUGACCGGCCUGCCCUCUGGGUUGGCUGGCCGGGUUAGUACCCCUCGUAUUUCUUUUAAAUUUUUAGAUCUUUCACACCAUUACUAUCAUUUCCUCCUCCAAAUCUAAGCACACUACCACCACCGCCACCUUUAAAUUUGGCUACCGCCAUAAAUUUUUUAUUUUUGUUUCUCGUUUGUAAGAUCCCAUCAAAAACACAUUCAGAACUAAAAGUUUUGUGGGGAGCCCAAAUGGGUUGCCGUUUGUCGGUACCAAUUAUUCCGGCGAGGCAAUGUCGGGAUUAGUUCAAAUUUGAAAGCUACAAAAUUUCGUUAGAAGUUUUGAUACCGCCAGGUGGUUACACCUCUCUGCUAUGCCAUCUCCAUUACAACAGUUAAUUUGCCGAUAGGUGGUUAUCCAUUACAACCCCUUUCUUCUUGUUCAGAAAUUUGGGGAAGAUUGGUUGUUAGGGAAGAUGACGAUUGCAAAAUACAAAAGGUGUGCAAAUUAGCAGUUGGGGAAGAAGAAGAGACCAAAUUUCUGGAGAAGAAGACAGAGCUGGAAAAGAAAUAGCCGAAAAUUAGUUUUCCGGCGAGGAGGGGUCGUUGGGAAGAUGACGAUGGGUGGGGUGGUUUCUGGAAGGAUCAAUUGGACACAAUGGUCGAAUACAAUAGAGUGAAGGUCAAGUGUUUGAUUGAAUUUACUAGAGGUUUUUGCGUAUGUAUGGUCAAACUUCUGUUAUUCAUUCAAAGAAAUGAUCAAAAGAUCUUUAUUUGCCGGAGAAGUGGGCGUUUCCAAUGAUAAUGCAUGGCUACUUAACAGGGGGAAUUAACAGCAAAUACUAGUUUAUCUCAUUAUUGUUGAUAAAAUGGCCUAGUCCUUCACAUCUUGAUCUACCGUGCAUUGUGCUCCAAAAGGUACUAAGAGAGGCGGCGUUAAAACUCAAACUCGAGUCCUCUGCCUAAGUUGGUGCCAUCCGGAAAGAGAGAACAUGUUGAAUUGUGUGAACUACCUUAUCUGAAAGCGCAAGCUAUUAGAGAGAGAACAUAGUUAUUUAUUUAUGUUUGCAGCCUGAUCUAGAGGAUAUGGAGUCUACAAGGGGAGAAGCACAUUGGGAUUUGAAGUUUUGGAACAACUUGCGCAAGACUGGAAGGUCGAAGCACAUGAUAGUCAAGAUGUAAGGAGAUGGGGUGCGGGGGAAAAUGGUGUCUUUUAUGUAAAUCCUAUUAUGAGAAGUUUAUGACUAUGGAGGAGUCGAGAAAGGUGUAUAUGUUUUCACUUGGCUAGCUGCGCGUGGGGUAAUCUUGACGGUGGAGAACUUGGGGAAGAAGUUUAUUUGUUGGUUGGCGCUUCAUGUGUAAAGACUCAUGGAAAAAUGUGAAUCACUUCCAUUUACUUUGUCGAAUAGCGUCUUAGUUGUGGUGGGAAAUCCUGUGAUGGUUUGGACCAGAGUGAGUAAUGUCGAGCACUGUGAAAGAAAUAAUAUUUAGUUAGACCUUUAGAAGACAGCUAAGUUGCUCUGACAUGGGUACGGGUGUCCGACACGGGUGCGGAUCUAGAGGUCGGAUCCUUUAAGAUGAAAAUUUUAAGAUUCGGGGAUACGAAUCCUAGAACCGAUACGGGUGCGGGGAUACAGCUAAAAGUUUGCACACUUGUAUUAAUAUUUGCCGUGCUAAGACAAAAAAGUUUGCACACUUGUAAUAAAUUUGCUACAGUAACGUGAUCAUAAAAGUAAAGUAUGUCAAAAAGCAUAUCACUUUUUACAAAGAGCUACAGUAACUCUUUUUUGUGGCCCAUAUUGCAAGUGAAUGCAAUAUUUAAUGAGAGACAGCUAUAACUCUUCAUAAACGACAAAAUAUUAGCUGUCAAUUAAAAAAUGGUCAAUUCCUAAUUUGUCUCAUUCUUCAUCCGUUCUCUGUACUCGCCUCUUCUUCUUUCCAUCUCUGAUCUUCUUCCCCAACAAAACCUUUUCCAUCUCUUUAUUUUUUUCAGUACAAAACCCAUUAUGCCUCAGUCCAGUAGUCCACCACCCAUCUUUUGCUUCUCUGCCCAGAAAAGAACAGGAGCUCUUGAUUUAAAAAACCUGCAGCAUGAACAAGACGAUUGACCAAGACAAAAAGCUUCAAAGGAGACAAAAAAACUAAUAUAAGAAGGAGAAUAUCAACGAAAUUGAAGGUAUUUCGUUUCCCAUCUCUUCAAAUCUUUACUUAGUGAAAUCAAUUGGGAAAAUUUUUGGUCAACGCACCCGAUCUUGUCUGACCAUAUCUGACACAGAUCCCACACUCUUACCCAUGUCAGUGUCGUGUCGACACGGGUACGACACCCAAAUUGCCGUGUCCGAGCAACUUAGGAAGACGGAGGAGACACAGGGUAUGGGAUGCUGCUCCUCUAUACUUAUGGACUGUAUGAAGAGAGAGGAUUUGGAGCGCUUUUGAUGGAGUAGAGAUGGUUUUGUACACUUGAGGAAUAACCUUCUACCUCUUAUUCCUUUUUGGUGCACCCAUGAGGUUCCCAUAUGUAUAAAAGAUUGGGUGUCUUUCAUAGAAAAUCAUAUCAUUUCGGAAGCUUUUUCUACCUUUUGGUAUACCUCUUGUAUACAGGCAUUUUUUGCGCUUCUUUUGAUGAAAUUUUUUACUUUAUAAAAAAAAAAAAAUUGAUCCAUAGGAUGACUACAAAAGUGAAACUUUUGAUGGAUUGUCGGAAGUAGUGAUUCCUACUAAUUUCAGAGAUCAUUAUCUUAGUUGAAGAAAAAGUGUCAUAGACUUAUGUUUAAGAUCAACUAAUCAGAUUAUUUGUCUUUGCUUCUCCACCCAACAAUAAUAACAUACCCCGUGUAAUCCCACAAGUGGGGUCUGGAGAGUGUAGUGUGCAAGCAGACCUUACCCCUACUUUAAAGAGGUAGAGAGGCUUCUCCACCCAUUUAAUCUAAUAGUGACUCAUCAAAAGCUAGUAAUAACUAAAAGAGAAAUGGAGCCAGUCCUUACUUGAGAUGCUAUUCUGGAAAAAAAGGCCAACUCUUCUUUGCACUCAGGGCAACACAUAGUUUCAUUGACAACCAAUUAGCUAUAUCCAUCUCAAUAAACAAACUUCAACAAAAGAAAGAAGGAACUUUAAGUUUGACAAUCUUGAUGGUGUCUUUCACGAUCAACGUUGCUGGCUGAAGGUAUACUUUUGUUGCAUUUGUACUACUAGAUAUUUGCUCAAAUACCAUAAAUAUUUAUCCUUUUAGUCAUACUUAAAGAGCUUUAAAUCUUGGAAAUCUAUUAUUCUGUCACUUAUUCUAGCUUAAGUUGCUUUUUGCGAAUUGAUAUAUAAUGCAAAACAUACUUAUAUUUAUGUGUAUGAUUGGUCAUAGUUCUUCUGUGGUAAUUAAAUGAACGAAAUAGAGAGCUUUUUGUACUGACCUUAUUUAUAUUUACCCAUGCUACCUAUUAUGUUUAUAGUAUAAAGAGUGAGGAUUGAGGAAUUUGUAUAUCUUGUGUAAGCAUGCAAAUGCAGAAAUGGCUCACGAAAACUCAUGUAGGCAUUCUGAAGGCAAAAUUUUAAUAGUGGUGGCUUUGUUGCAAGUUUACUACAUAGAGUACGAUGCAAGCAUUUAUUAAAUUUCAUCUAGGUUGCUAUCCAUUGAAACUUCUGUAUUGGCUGGUUUUCCAGAAUCUUUUACUUCAGAUCAUUGGCCACGUUUUACUGAAUCCACUGACAACGUUCUAUCUCCUCUUUGUUUUGCCUGCACAAUAAGAAACUUAUGAAUUGAUCCAGAAAAGAUACCACAUAUAUAUCUAAUAUCUAAUCAAACUGAACUUUUAAGUGCAAGAAAUACAAAUAUCUUAAGGUUUAUUUGUUGAGAAAGAUAUUUACUUUUUAUGGACUUCCAUGUGCUGUAGUCUUUUAUCAUCUAGCAUUGAUGCAUUGACUGUAUGGACUGAUGCAGUAAAAAGCUGAAAAUUUAGAGUAUCUGACUAACUAAGUUGAGGUAGAAAACAUCAAGUCGAAUAUAAAAGAUAUUAUGUCUGGAGACGUAGCAAUGAUCCUAAUACCGCACACCGUUUCAAAGUUGAAAUUUAUACAUACGUUUUGCAUUAAAUACAUUUAAGUCCCUGCUCACAAUGCCAUGUAAGUUUUAGGUGAAAAUCACUUAGAUAGGCUGUAAUUUGUUGCAAAAGUAUAUCAUUAAACAUUCUAGCAUAUCUCCCACAAACCAUAAUUUAUUGAAAGUAAAUAUUUCUUGAAUAAUGUAAUUGGUUGCCAUUGCAGAUAUUUGUUAUUUAAUACGUAAACAUUUAAUUUUCCUGCUAGACUAUUUUUCGUAUUGUUAGUUUAUAAGUGUAUCAUAUGUAGCUUCCAUGUUUGCUAUUGUUAUUUUUAUAGGCAAUAAUUGCCGCUAGCUGUUUCUGGUUUUGCUAUUAUGUAGUUAACCCUUAGA